CAGAAUAUGGUGUAUUGGGUAGCAAAAAGAAUUUUGAUUUCUUAGGAUUAGGUUCAAUUCCUAUCAUUCUAC
RNAcentral lists this transfer RNA (72 nucleotides) under Callithrix jacchus (white-tufted-ear marmoset). It matches the Rfam family "tRNA". From Rfam's summary of the family: Transfer RNA (tRNA) molecules are approximately 80 nucleotides in length. Their secondary structure includes four short double-helical elements and three loops (D, anti-codon, and T loops). Further hydrogen bonds mediate the characteristic L-shaped molecular structure. tRNAs have two regions of fundamental functional importance: the anti-codon, which is responsible for specific mRNA codon recognition, and the 3' end, to which the tRNAs corresponding amino acid is attached (by aminoacyl-tRNA synthetases). tRNAs cope with the degeneracy of the genetic code in two manners: having more than one tRNA (with a specific anti-codon) for a particular amino acid; and 'wobble' base-pairing, i.e. permitting non-standard base-pairing at the 3rd anti-codon position. Lineage: Eukaryota; Metazoa; Chordata; Mammalia; Primates; Cebidae. The record is from Rfam by way of RNAcentral.